Non-coding RNA from Acanthosepion pharaonis, 107 nucleotides. The record is from the annotation of a GenBank genome assembly. Lineage: Eukaryota; Metazoa; Mollusca; Cephalopoda; Sepiida; Sepiidae.
UGAUAUCACAUUGAAAUACCAGUUCUUGUCUGAUCACCAAAGUUAAGCAAUAUCAAGCCUAGUCAGUACCUAGAUGAGUGACUGCUUUGGAGUACCAGGUACUGUGA